UGGGGAAUCUUGGACAAUGGGGGAAACCCUGAUCCAGCCAUGCCGCGUGAUCGAUGAAGGCCCUAGGGUUGUAAAGAUCUUUCAGCUGGGAAGAUAAUGACGGUACCAGCAGAAGAAGCCCCGGCUAACUCCGUGCCAGCAGCCGCGGUAAUACGGAGGGGGCUAGCGUUGUUCGGAAUUACUGGGCGUAAAGCGCACGUAGGCGGACCUGCAAGUUGGGGGUGAAAUCCCGGGGCUCAACCCCGGAACUGCCUCCAAAACUGCAGGUCUGGAGUCCGGGAGAGGCGAGUGGAAUUCCGAGUGUAGAGGUGAAAUUCGUAGAUAUUCGGAGGAACACCAGUGGCGAAGGCGGCUCGCUGGUCCGGUACUGACGCUGAGGUGCGAAAGCNUGGGGAGCAAACAGGAUUAGAUACCCUGGUAGUCCACGCCGUAAACUAUGAGAGCUAGACGUCGGGCGGCUUGCCGUUCGGUGUCGCAGCUAACGCAGUAAGCUCUCCGCCUGGGGAGUACGGCCGCAAGGUUAAAACUCAAAUGAAUU
This 538-nucleotide ribosomal RNA is filed under the name uncultured bacterium. Its description in RNAcentral is "partial 16S ribosomal RNA". It matches the Rfam family "Bacterial small subunit ribosomal RNA", at positions 355 to 911 of the family's 1533-position model. The record is from RNAcentral.